Molecule: ribosomal RNA, 253 nt
Filed under: uncultured bacterium
Lineage: Bacteria
Description: partial 16S ribosomal RNA
Rfam family: Bacterial small subunit ribosomal RNA
Source: RNAcentral
AACGUAGGAGACAAGCGUUAUCCGGAAUUACUGGGCGUAAAGGGCGUGUAGGUGGGUUCGUAAGUCUGGCGUGAAAUUUCUCGGCUUAACCGAGGCAGGUCGUCGGAUACUGCGGAACUAGAGGACGGUAGAGGCGUGUGGAAUUCCGGGUGUAGUGGUGAAAUGCGUAGAUAUCAGGAAGAACAUCGGUGGCGAAGGCGCUCUGCUGGACCAUAACUGACACUCAGGGACGAAAGCUAGGGGAGCGAAUGGG